GAACUACCCUUUUGUAGGUUCGAGAUAUCGGAGAGGGGAAGGAGCUAUAGCGCACAGAGACGACCAAAACCAUAACUAUCUGUUCAAUAUCGUCUUGAUCAAGUUGGAUAAGUAUCUCUUAUCCUUUUUACCUCUGAAAUGAAAACUUUUCUUACUUCUUUUUGAUGUUUCCUGGCUUUCUAGCAUUUAAAUGAUCCGGAAAUUGAUGGUCAAAAUAGCCUGGAGAAAAUAGUUUAUGUUGCAUCUAUUUCAAUCAUGAUCUAUUUUACUUUUUAGCAAUAAGCAGGGUACAUUUAUCUCUUGAGAAUUGCAUUGCUAUCUUCAUGAAUAUCUACUACAUUAUAUCAUGACUGGACAUAAAUCUAUUGCCUAUGCUUCCUGUAGCAUGUGCUUUCAUGCUUUGGAUGCUAUUGAACGAAUACAUACAUUCCUGCAUUAUUUAGUCCAUUAUUUAUGUUCUCUCCUGUGAUAUUCUUCUGCAGCUACGGGUCUGAUCGCAGCUGGUGAUUUUGUGGCGAUUGGGCAGCUUUCUAAGCCAUUUACUUCUGUGUUUCUAUAUGACAAAGAGUACCAUCGUCCCGCUCUUCUGUAUGCGCUGCUUCCUUUAAUCAGUUAGUCCAGUUUUCAUCAACUAUGCCACUUGAGAUAGCUGAUGCUGCUUGGGCUUAUCUCUUUGUUGUUGGCACAAAGCGCAAGGUGGAUCUCUGAAAUUUGUGUUAAUUCAUCACUUUUCAGCAGCCAAUUUUAUAUUUGUUCUGAACAAGAUCUUGGCACGAAUGAGAAUUUCAUGGUUGAAAAUUCUUCCUCAUUGACGGAUGAAACUAUUCCAAAGGCACUAACUACUGGUGCAUUCCAUCAAUGUAGAGAGGUAUCGUGCUUCAACUCUGUUAAGGAAAUGGAGGAAAUGGCUCAAAUUGAUGAGAGCAUGAAGCAGCUGGAUAGAUGUUUCAGGGUAGGAUAUGUCCUUGAAGGCUGCACCAUUCUAUGGUGUGCAAAUAUAUCUUCAUUGUAUUUCAUUAGUUGAAUGCUUUCAGAGAAGAGGUUUCUCAAGUUAAACAUGUCUGUAGAUGUGGCCACAUUAAGGGAGUUCAAGCCAUAAACAUAGAAAGCUCAGAUUGGUUUACAUGAGGAUUUUCACUGCUCCAUACAAAAGCAUUAUUGGCAUCAAAAGCGAAAUCAGAAAAUGAAUGAUGUAACUACUGUUGAAACUCAGAAUUCUAAGUUGGUCUGAUUGAUGCUCAUUAUGUCUAUCUUUUGCUUUGAAUUGCUAAGUUUUUUUACACGAACCAUCAUGAACAUGGAACAUAGUAGAGGCAUGUGUAUUUAUUCUCUCUCUCUCUCUCUCUUUCUACGUUUCAUCCUUGCUUCCUUGCACCAAGAAGCAGGUCUGUUAUUUUUUUUUUUGGGUCAAAACAGGUCUAUUCUUUUGUGAC
Molecule: long non-coding RNA, 1433 nt
Organism: Lotus japonicus
Lineage: Eukaryota; Viridiplantae; Streptophyta; Magnoliopsida; Fabales; Fabaceae
Exons: 4
Source: RefSeq, a predicted model, not a curated record